Molecule: transfer RNA, 48 nt
Filed under: Dicksonia karsteniana
Lineage: Eukaryota; Viridiplantae; Streptophyta; Polypodiopsida; Cyatheales; Dicksoniaceae
Description: partial tRNA-Gly
Source: RNAcentral
CGCUAAUAAUAGGGUCGGACCGCCCCGAACCNUGUCUAUUUCCCCUAU